Long non-coding RNA from Mirounga angustirostris (Northern elephant seal), 756 nucleotides. RefSeq lists it as uncharacterized. Lineage: Eukaryota; Metazoa; Chordata; Mammalia; Carnivora; Phocidae. The record is from RefSeq and is a predicted model, not a curated record. The transcript is spliced from 4 exons.
CCCCGCGCCCCCAGCUCGCGGCCCCAGAUGGAUCAUUCCCCCCAAAUAAAUAAAUCAAUCCAGCCGCGGCGGGCACUCGGUGAAGUGAGCGAGGCGCACACCUGAAGGCUGGUCUGUGAUUCACUGCAGAAUGGAUCACCAGGAAAACACUCCUAGGAAAAGUACUAUCAUUCCUCAUGUCUUAACAUUGCUCUAAGAAGUAUCACCACCAAAACUAAGAGGAACUCUCUUUGGAUCCCAUCCACCACCUCCAUCCCCAAAGGCUGAGCAGAAAACUGCAUAAUCCCCAAGGGCUGGCUGAAGGAUAAGGUCCGAGAGAGCAAAGGACAGGCUGAAGACUGGCUAGAAUGGGAAGAGAACAUAACAUUUUCCUCAGAGGGAAGCAGAGGGACAUCUGACUACAGAAGAAGGCAUUGUGACACAAGCAAGAUGCGACCCUGCUGACUUUGAAGAUGGAGGAAGGAAUGAAAGGAAUGCACAGAAUGCAGCUCUAGAAAGAAGCUGGAAAAGUCAAGAAGACAAUUUCUACCUUACUGUUUCUGGAGGGAGCUCAGCCCUGCAGACACCUUGAUUUUAGCCCAGUGAAACUGAUUUCAGACUUCUGGCCCCUAGAACUCUAGGAGAAUAAAUAUAUGUUGUUUUAAACCAUUUAGCUUGUCAUAAUUUGUUACAGUAGCCAUAGGAAACUAAGACCAUAUUUGUAAAGUAUACAUAAUGGGAAAUGCUCCAAAAAUGUGUUUAAAAAAAAAACCAAAA